This 443-nucleotide ribosomal RNA is filed under the name uncultured delta proteobacterium. Its description in RNAcentral is "bacterial SSU rRNA". It matches the Rfam family "Bacterial small subunit ribosomal RNA", at positions 394 to 854 of the family's 1533-position model. The record is from RNAcentral. Lineage: Bacteria; Deltaproteobacteria.
ACGCCGCGUGAGGGAUGACAGCCUUAGGGUUGUAAACCUCUGUUGUAUGGGAAGAAGGAAGUGACGGUACCAUACGAGGAAGCUCCGGCUAACUACGUGCCAGCAGCCGCGGUAAUACGUAGGGAGCGAGCGUUGUCCGGAAUUACUGGGCGUAAAGGGCACGCAGGCGUUUAUAUAAGUCAGCUGUUAAAUGUAUGGGCUUAACCGAUGCAUGCGGUUGAAACUGUAUGACUGGAGUACUGGAGAGGUAAGCGGAAUUCCCGGUGUAGCGGUGAAAUGCGUAGAUAUCGGGAAGAACACCAGUGGCGAAGGCGGCUUACUGGCCAGUUACUGACGCUGAGGUGCGAAAGCCAGGGGAGCGAACCGGAUUAGAUACCCGGGUAGUCCUGGCCGUAAACGAUGAAUGCUAGGUGUGGGUAUAGCGAUAUAUCGUGCCGGAGUUA